RNAcentral lists this transfer RNA (71 nucleotides) under Enyalioides oshaughnessyi. Its description in RNAcentral is "tRNA-Gln". It matches the Rfam family "tRNA". From Rfam's summary of the family: Transfer RNA (tRNA) molecules are approximately 80 nucleotides in length. Their secondary structure includes four short double-helical elements and three loops (D, anti-codon, and T loops). Lineage: Eukaryota; Metazoa; Chordata; Lepidosauria; Squamata; Hoplocercidae. RNAcentral also lists the same sequence under 1 other name. The record is from RNAcentral.
UAGGAGGUUGCAUAAAGUGAAGUGCAAUAGAUUUUGAGUCUUUUGGUACAGGUUCGAUUCCUGUUCUUCUA